Molecule: ribosomal RNA, 305 nt
Filed under: uncultured bacterium
Lineage: Bacteria
Description: bacterial SSU rRNA
Rfam family: Bacterial small subunit ribosomal RNA
Source: RNAcentral
CCUACGGGGGGCAGCAGUCGGGAAUAUUGCGCAAUGGAGGAAACUCUGACGCAGUGACGCCGCGUGCAGGAAGAAGGUUUUCGGAUUGUAAACUGCUUUAGAUAGGGAAGAAAAAAAUGACAGUACCUAUAGAAUAAGCUCCGGCUAACUACGUGCCAGCAGCCGCGGUAAUACGUAGGGAGCGAGCGUUAUCCGGAUUUAUUGGGUGUAAAGGGUGCGUAGAUGGAUAAACAAGUUGGUUGUGAAAUCCCUCGGCUUAACUGAGGAAUUGCAACCAAAACUGUAGAUCUUGAGUACUGGAGGGG